RNAcentral lists this long non-coding RNA (1667 nucleotides) under Homo sapiens (human). Its description in RNAcentral is "A1BG antisense RNA 1". Lineage: Eukaryota; Metazoa; Chordata; Mammalia; Primates; Hominidae. The record is from RNAcentral.
GGCUUCAUCUUCCCUGUCUUGUUCCUGGGCGCAGAGGGCUCCUCCGGCGCCGCCGAGCUGCGCCCGCUGCCUUCACACCCCGGACAUCCGCGCCACACGGACCCAGACCCCAGGAGGCCUCACCCCACAGCAAGAGAAAGACCACGAGCAUGGACAUGAUGGUCGCGCUCACUCCGGUGCAGUGAGUGUCUGGGUGAUGGAUCCUAGAACCUGUUCUAGAAGGAGACGCUGAGUUCUCCCCACUCUACCUGGAGCUGCUGAGGUCAAGUGGAGAGUGCCGGGGCUGAAGCCCAGCGAGCCCCUCCCUGUCACACCACACUGCACAUGUGACACCAAAGGUGGGGUUCACCUCUUUUCAGACUUUCUGCGGUUGCCCUCACAUGGGCUGUCUGGAGGUGCACCCUCACUCUUCCUGAGGACUGUGGUUCCUUCUCCAUCACUGGUUCAUUCUGCAUGGUGUGACCCACCACGGCUCUGGAGUCGGAUUUCCACCCAGGUCAUUCAGCUGAGACCUGCGCUUCCCAGGCCUACCCGUGACAUGUGCUCAGUUACCUGAGCUGCUGGUGGUCACUCAUGUGGCUAUAGCCUGCUGCCUGGAGGCCAGGCCUCCCGCUUCCCCUGCCUCCCCCUCUCCUCACCACAGCCUGUUGGGAUGGAACAGGACAGGGGUGAGACCGUGGUGCUUUCACACUCAGCCUCCAUGGACAUCCUGUCAUUCCCACCCGGGGAGGUCUGGUCCCCACCCUGGGUGUCCCAGCCUAGCUCCGCUACGAGUGUGAGGGCCCAGGGCAACCGCCUAGCCCUCAUCUGCCCCCUGCACUGCAUCCUCCCCACUCAUUCAUUCCACAGGCAUUUAUUGAGCAUCUACUGUGUGCCAGAUGCAAAGAAGACAGUGGGAUAACUGGGCAAGGAGCAUUCCAGGCAGAGGGAACAGCCAGUGCAAACAUGGGAGAUGCGGGUGCAGUGAGAAGGAGCAGAGGAGACCAGGAGUUGAGGCGACUGCAGAGCGAUUGCAGAGCUCAUAGACGUGAUGAAGACCAGCUGGGCACUGCAGCGGCUCUGGCUUCUGCUGUGAGGGACGGGGAGCUGUGGAGACUCCCUCUGUUUGGUCCCAUUUCCAUAUUGCUGAGCACCUGCUGCAUGCUCUCUGUCCUGCUCAGAGCCAGUACCUGGAUGGAGGCUGUGUGUUCUGGGUGGACUGGGGGAGAAUGCAUUCUUUGCAGAAGAGACAACCAGGUGCUGAGGCCUGAAGUCAUAACCAGACCUGGGGCACUCAGACAAGGACUGGUGGCCAGGCCAGAGGAGCAGAGCUCAGGGUGUGCACAGAACUCAGAAGUCAGACCACUGAACAGUGACAGAACCUUUCAGCCCAUUGGCAAUGAGGCUGCCCAGGCAGCCAGAGGCCUGGUCAAAUCUGAGGUCUGCAGAGAUGGAGCUGUCAUUCUGUGUUUCCUUUGGCAGUCCCAACACCAGCCUCGUUGCACCCUCCUCUUAGCUUCCCUGGGUUCUCCAGCCCUAAGGGUGGUAGCAGCUUCCUGCAAGUAUCCAGCUCUGAGAUUCUGCAACAUCCACUUUUGCUCUCUGAGCCUUGCAAAACCUGCACAAUCAGUCCCUAACUUAUAUCCCCUCUGUUUGAAAUACCUAGUGUGGUUUCUAUUUCCUGACUU